This is a non-coding RNA of Acanthosepion pharaonis, 110 nucleotides long. NCBI's taxonomy places the organism in Eukaryota, Metazoa, Mollusca, Cephalopoda, Sepiida, Sepiidae. The record is from the annotation of a GenBank genome assembly.
GGCCAUAUCACAUUAAAACACCGAUUCCCGUACGAUCACCUAAGUUAAGCACCAUCGAGCCUUGUCAGUAGCUGGAUGGGUGAUUGCUUGGGAAUAUCAGGCGCCGUAAU